This 31-nucleotide non-coding RNA is filed under the name Mus musculus (house mouse). The record is from RNAcentral. Lineage: Eukaryota; Metazoa; Chordata; Mammalia; Rodentia; Muridae.
UGGAAAAUUAAAAUACAAACCAGACUGGCUG